GAUGAAGAACGUAGCGAAAUGCGAUAAGUAAUGUGAAUUGCAGAAUUCAGUGAAUCAUCGAAUCUUUGAACGCACAUUGCGCCCGCUAGUAUUCUGGCGGGCAUGCCUGUCCGAGCGUCAUUUCAACCCUCAAGCCCCCGGGCUUGGUGUUGGGGAUCGGCGAGCCUCCGCGCCCGCCGUCCCCUAAAUCUAGUGGCGGUCUCGCUGUAGCUUCCUCUGCGUAGUAGCACACCUCGCACUGGGAAACAGCGCGGCCACGCCGUUAAACCCCCAACUUCUGAACGUUUGACCUCGGAUCAGGAAGGAAUACCCGCUGAACUUAAGCAUAUCAAUAAGCGGAGGA
This 343-nucleotide unclassified non-coding RNA is filed under the name soil metagenome. Its description in RNAcentral is "partial contains 5.8S ribosomal RNA, internal transcribed spacer 2, and large subunit ribosomal RNA". The stretch from base 1 to 120 matches the Rfam family "5.8S ribosomal RNA", at positions 35 to 154 of the family's 154-position model. The record is from RNAcentral.